GGUGGCUUAGCUGGAGGGGAGACUGGUGGUUUGGUUGGAGGAGAGACCGGAGGCUUAACCGGGGCUUUGGUCGGGGGCUUAACAGGGGCUUUGGUCGGAGGGUAAACCGGGGGCUUAACCGGAGGUUUGGCCGGUGGUGAAACUGGUGGCUUUACUGGAGGUUUGGCCGGUGGUGAAACUGGUGGCUUAACCGGAGGUUUGACUGGGGGCUUAACUGGAGCUUUGGUCGGAGGGUAAACUGGAGGUUUAACAGGAGGUUUUGCUGGUGGGGAAACUGGUGGCUUAACCGGAGGUUUGACUGGGGGCUUAACCGGAGCUUUGGUCGGAGGGUAAACCGGAGGUUUAACAGGAGGUUUUGCUGGUGGGGAAACUGGUGCCUUAACCGGAGGUUUAGUUGGGGGCUUAACCGGGGAUUUGGUUGGAGGGUAAACUGGAGUCUUAACCGGAGGUUUAGAAGGUGGAGAAACCGGCGGCUUGACAGGGGCUUUUGCCGGUGGGUGAGGGUGAGGGUGGUGGUGAUGGGGAGGAUGUGGGUGGUGGUGGCCGUGGUGGUAAGGAGAUGGAGCAGGGGCAGAGGAAGGCGUUUGGGUCACAUGGUUCACU
This 603-nucleotide long non-coding RNA is filed under the name Brassica napus (rape). RNAcentral describes it as "long non-coding RNA (BNAP_LNC025764)". Lineage: Eukaryota; Viridiplantae; Streptophyta; Magnoliopsida; Brassicales; Brassicaceae. The record is from RNAcentral.